UCUCUCUCUCUCUCUCUCUCUCUCUCUCUCUCUCUCUCUCUCUCUCUCUCUAUAUAUAUAUAUAUAUAUAUAUAUAUAUAUAUAUAUAUAUAUAGGUAAAAUCAAAUGAUUUAAUUGAACGAGAAUAGAUGUAUCCAUGGGAGUUUAAAGAUAAAUAAAAUUGGAUAGAAAGAUCCGCCAAGGAAUACCAUAGAGUAGAUCCUGCAUGGUUC
Molecule: long non-coding RNA, 212 nt
Filed under: Elaeis guineensis (African oil palm)
Lineage: Eukaryota; Viridiplantae; Streptophyta; Magnoliopsida; Arecales; Arecaceae
Description: long non-coding RNA (EGUI_LNC036849)
Source: RNAcentral